CCGGAGUGGUCGGGAGACCCGUGCGGCGUUGUUGGCGACCGCGGACCCGUCGGAGGCCGGCGGCUGGCGGCGAGUAGGUCGGUCACCCACCCGACCCGUCUUGAAACACGGACCAAGGAGUCUAACAUGUGCGCGAGUCAAUGGGUCUUGAACAGGCCCAGGGGCGCAAUGAAAGCAAAGGCCGUCACCAGGCGGCCGAGUUGGGAUCCUCCUCCCCCGCGGGGGGGCGCACCAACGACCCGUCCUAUCCGGCUCGCCGGUUGGGCGGAGUGUGAGCGUACACGUUGGGACCCGAAAGAUGGUGAACUAUGCCCGGACAGGACGAGGCCAGAGGAAACUCUGGUGGAGGUCCGCAG
This 356-nucleotide ribosomal RNA is filed under the name Zelotes flagellans. Its description in RNAcentral is "partial large subunit ribosomal RNA". It matches the Rfam family "Eukaryotic large subunit ribosomal RNA", at positions 605 to 880 of the family's 3401-position model. The record is from RNAcentral. Lineage: Eukaryota; Metazoa; Arthropoda; Arachnida; Araneae; Gnaphosidae.